RNAcentral lists this long non-coding RNA (650 nucleotides) under Phasianus colchicus (ring-necked pheasant). Its description in RNAcentral is "lncRNA (ENSPCLG00000000429.1)". The record is from RNAcentral. Lineage: Eukaryota; Metazoa; Chordata; Aves; Galliformes; Phasianidae.
UGAGGUUGUUUUUGUCUGUUCUGCUUGUUUUCUACCUCAGUUUCUCUAAUUGCUGUAUAUCCAGCUGAAAUGCACUGGAUUUUCUAACAAGAUCAUUGGUAGCUUCAAAAUCCACCGCCCUGAGCAGACAAGAGCUGUACCCUCUGAGGCAGCUCCCAUACGUGCACUGCUGCUGAGGCUGCCAACCUUCAUAAAUGCCUCCAAAUUCAACCUGAUCAAUGGAAGAAGAUGCUUCUCCUUGUCUGCUUUUCCAUCAGAAAAGAAACAUCUCCUAAGUUGCACGGCACACAGAGGCAGAGGAGCAGUGAGAACUGAGCUGGGUAGGGAGCAGACAAUGCAUCGUGAUGCCUUUAAGUUGCUGGAUGAAGUUCAUUUCUCCUUGUCUGUACAAGGCUGGACUCUGCAUUUUCAUGGUUUCCUUGCUCAGCUCUCACUGUGAAGCCAAGUCUGCACCGUUUGGUGUCUGCAGCUUUGUUUCUGGGUCCAGGCAGUGGGAUGGAGAAAGGAUGGGGGAGUUCCAACAGCCAGCAUGGAAGAACUAGAGCGAGAAGCUCCUUUCCCAAAGAGGAGCAAGCAAUUGCUGCUUGAAUUUAAACCUUUUUUGGGAUAGGAGAAGGUUGAGCGUGCCCAUGGGCAAAAGGAUUUCCCCC